RNAcentral lists this ribosomal RNA (156 nucleotides) under Ascaris lumbricoides (common roundworm). RNAcentral describes it as "5.8S ribosomal RNA". It matches the Rfam family "5.8S ribosomal RNA". From Rfam's summary of the family: 5.8S ribosomal RNA (5.8S rRNA) is a component of the large subunit of the eukaryotic ribosome. Lineage: Eukaryota; Metazoa; Nematoda; Chromadorea; Rhabditida; Ascarididae. The record is from RNAcentral.
CAAAUCUUAGCGGUGGAUCACUCGGUUCGUGGAUCGAUGAAGAACGCAGCUAGCUGCGAUAAAUAGUGCGAAUUGCAGACACAUUGAGCACUAAAAAUUCGAACGCACAUUGCGCCAUCGGGUUCAUUCCCGUUGGCACGUCUGGCUGAGGGUUGA